GCUGGAGUAUAGUGGCACAAUCUUGUCUCACUGCAGGCUCUGCCUCCCAGGUUCAAGCGAUUCUCCUGCCUCAGCCUGCCGAGUAGCUGGGAUUAGAGGUACCCACCCCAUGCCCGGCUGAUUUUUGUAUUUUUAGUAGAGGUGGGGUGUCACCAUGUCGGCCAGGCUGGUCUCGAACUCCUGACUUCAGGUGAUCUGCCCACCUUUGCCUCCCAAAGUGCUGGAAUUACAGGCGUGAGCCACCGUGCCCUGCCGACGUUUGGAAUUUAUGAGGAAAGGUACAAGAAUUCUUCUAGGCCAGGUCUCGAGUGCCACCUCUCUACCCUGUGAGAUACGCAGAGGACCCUGUAAAUGCCGUGCCCCGCAUGCCUCGGCCUGGGCGUGAGCCGUACGCGGGGGAGGUGGUGACGUUUGUAAUCCAGACGUCGUUUCGUUGCGACUGGGUCACCUGUGAUGCCCUAAGCCCUGAGAACUUUUCAGGAUUGCCAGAUUUAGAAAAUGAAAACGCAAAACUCCAAGUUAAAUUUGAAUUUAAGUAGACAAUGAAUACUUUUUUG
RNAcentral lists this long non-coding RNA (557 nucleotides) under Homo sapiens (human). RNAcentral's name for it is "HSALNT0084000". Lineage: Eukaryota; Metazoa; Chordata; Mammalia; Primates; Hominidae. The record is from RNAcentral.